This 409-nucleotide ribosomal RNA is filed under the name Catillaria modesta. Its description in RNAcentral is "SSU rRNA". It matches the Rfam family "Bacterial small subunit ribosomal RNA", at positions 753 to 1213 of the family's 1533-position model. Lineage: Eukaryota; Fungi; Ascomycota; Lecanoromycetes; Lecanorales; Catillariaceae. The record is from RNAcentral.
ACGAAGGCUUUGAGCCGCGAAUAGGAUUAGAUACCCUAGUAGUCAAAGGAGAGAAUUAUGAGUGCCAUAGAUUAGAAAUAUUUUGAUCUAUAAAUGAAAGUGCAAGCACUCCACCUUAUGAGUAAUGUGGCAACACCGAAAUUGAAAUCAUUAGACCGUUUCUGAAACCAGUAGUGAAGUAUGUUGUUUAAUUUGAUGAUCCACAAAAAACCUUACCACAACUUGCAUAUWCUUAUUUMAAUAUGUAUACAAGCGUUGCACGGCUGUCUUAAGUUAAUGUCGUGAGACUUUGAUUAGAUUCAUUAAAUUGACGUAAACCCUCGUUUUACUUUUAUGUAAAAYGGUUCACCGUUAUAUUGGAURUGAUAAYAGGGAAYAAGACAAGUCAUCAUGGCCUGAAUGUUGUGGG